GAUGAACGCUGACAGAAUGCUUAACACAUGCAAGUCGAUGGGGAAGUGGUGCUUGCACCAUGGCAACCAUGGCGGACGGGUGAGUAACGCGUAAGGGACUUACCUGCAGGACUGGGAUAACAGGGGGAAACUCCUGACAAGACCGGAUAAUGUCAUGGAGCUGCAUGGCUUUAUGAUGAAAGGAGACGCCUGCGGAGAGCCUUGCGUCCUAUUAGCUAGUUGGUGAGGUAAUGGCUCACCAAGGCGAAGAUAGGUAGCCGGCCUGAGAGGGUGGACGGCCACAAGGGGACUGAGAUACGGCCCUUACUCCUACGGGAGGCAGCAGUGGGGAAUAUUGGACAAUGGGGGCAACCCUGAUCCAGCAAUUCUGUGUGCACGAAGAAGGUUUUCGGAUUGUAAAGUGCUUUCAGCAGGGAAGAAGUAAAUGACGGUACCUGCAGAAGAAGCGACGGCUAAAUACGUG
This 463-nucleotide ribosomal RNA is filed under the name uncultured bacterium. RNAcentral's name for it is "partial 16S ribosomal RNA". It matches the Rfam family "Bacterial small subunit ribosomal RNA", at positions 28 to 507 of the family's 1533-position model. The record is from RNAcentral.